Molecule: non-coding RNA, 1057 nt
Organism: Microcebus murinus (gray mouse lemur)
Lineage: Eukaryota; Metazoa; Chordata; Mammalia; Primates; Cheirogaleidae
Source: RefSeq, a predicted model, not a curated record
CUUGUUCUUUCUUUGCUGGACCAAAGAGGACAGAGAGAUAUGUUGCCUACUGGAUGACUUAUCAGAGUCCUCUUCACAGAAUAGCAGAGAUCAGCUGCUAUAGUGUGUCAAGUAUUGUCCAUGAAUUAGAGUACAAAGAUGAAAAAGACACAAGACUAUCCUAAGGACCUCAUAUCUGGGUAAGCAGAAGGCUUUCCAUCUAAACAUAUUGUGAUGUCAUCAAUGAUACAACAACAAUAUGAAGAAAGGUCCCUGGAAGACAUAAGAGAAGGACCUCAAACGCAUGCCUUUAAAGCCGUCAUCUGCAGUCCUGACUGAUUGAUCGGAUAUCAACUGAUGAGUCAAACUACUGAACCAUUGCUCCAGACAAAGGUCCCUUGAAGCUGGUAGGAGUGGAGAGUCUGCUCACUGCUGGAUAUCACUGAUACCAUCUGGUAUGAGGAGAAUGGUAACACCACCUGCUGCUGACUGUUGGAGGAUAGAAGAUCAGUUCCAUGUUAAGUCUUACAUAUACUACCUUGGCAGGGAAACUGAAGUAUUCCUGGCUUCCACUGAAUGAGUAAUAGAUCAGAUCCCCACUAGCCUCUCUGAUACUAAUCCUACAGGGGAAUCCACAUACUGCUUGCAUCUUCCAGGCAGGGGAUAGGUGAUGAGCUCUUGCUGUCAUCCCUGCAAACAUGACCAGGCUAGGGAAUCAGAGUGCUUCCACCUGAUUCUGUGGUACAGUGUGCAGUGUUAGAGUAGACAAUCAGCUUGUUCUUUACCCCACUAAAUUUGAGGGGAAGAGGUAUAACUUUUCCACUGUUUCAUUUGUUUUGGUCUGGAGUAGGACAGCCAUCCCCCAAAAUAUUCUUGUUCUUAGGCCAUCUAUUUCCCAGAAAUUUGGCUAGAAAAACUUUUUUGUUGUUGGUUUUUGUUUGUGCUUGUUGGCAGUUCUGCAUAGCCCCAAUCUGGGAUAUGUGUAGGUGAUAAGAAAACCAAGGUUUUAUGGACUGAAUUUUGUGUCCCCUCCAAAUUCAUUUGUUGAAGUUCUAACCCCUAAUGUAACUGUAUUUGG